This 1536-nucleotide ribosomal RNA is filed under the name Triticum aestivum (bread wheat). RNAcentral's name for it is "partial small subunit ribosomal RNA". The record is from RNAcentral. Lineage: Eukaryota; Viridiplantae; Streptophyta; Magnoliopsida; Poales; Poaceae.
AUGGAGUCAUUGCUCGCAGCUGCGGCUGCCGGGGUGGAGCCGUUCCCGUCGGUGGACAAAUGCGACGCGUCGGGGCGCGGCUCGCACGCCGUGGCAGCCGACCUCGACGGGACGCUGCUGCGGUCUCGCAGCCCGUUCCCCUACUACGCGCUGGUGGCGUUCGAGACCGGUGGGUGGCCGCGGCUCCUGCUCCUGCUUCUCCUCGCGCCGUUAGCCACCCUGCUGGGCAUCGCCGCAUCGGAGGCUGCGGCUGUCCGAGUGCUCGUUUUCGCGGCCACGGCGGGAGCGCGGGUGUCAUCGAUCGAGUCCGCGGCGCAGGCCGUGCUGCCGCGGUUCUACGCCGCGGACGUGCACCCGGGCGCGUGGCGGGUGUUCUCGGCGUGUUCCAGGCGCCGCGUCGUGCUCACCUCCACGCCGCGGAUCAUGGCGGAGCCGUUCCUGAGGGAGUGCCUCGGAGCCGACGCCGUGGCAGGCACCGAGCUCGCCACGUGGCGCGGCCGCGCCACUGGGAUGGUGCACACGCGCCGGGGCGUGCUCGUCGGGCGACGCAAGGCCGAGGCGCUGCAUGAGAUAUUUGACGAGGAUGGCGACGUGCCGGACGUCGGCCUCGGCGACCGCCGGUCCGAUUACCCCUUCAUGUGCCAAUGCAAGGAAGCGUACAUCGUACCGUCGGCGCCGGUGGAGGCCGUUAGCAUGGACCAGCUGCGGAGGCAGGUCAUCUUCCACGACGGCCGCCUGGCGCUCCGCCCGACGCCGCUGGCCGCGCUGCUGACCGUGCUGUGGUGCCCGGCGGGCUUCGUCCUCGCGUGCCUCCGCAUCGCCGCGGGGGCGCUGCUGCCCAUGCCCUGGGUCUACUACGCCUUCUGGGCGCUCGGCGUGCGCGUCGUGGUCAAGGGCAGCCCGCCGCCGCGCGCCGGGAGCACGGCGGGCCGCACCGGGGUGCUCUUCGCCUGCUCGCACCGCACGCUGCUGGACCCCAUUUUCCUCUCGGCGGCGCUCGGCCGGCCCGUGGCGGCCGUCACCUACUCACUGUCAAGGCUGUCUGAGAUGCUCUCGCCGAUCCGGACCGUGCGCCUGAGCCGUAACCGCGUCACCGACGCCGCCAUGAUCACGAGGCUCCUGCAGGAGGGCGACCUCGCCAUCUGCCCCGAGGGGACGACGUCCCGAGAGCCGUUCCUGCUCCGGUUCUCGGCGCUCUUCGCGGAGCUCACCGACGAGGUGGUCCCCGUGGCGAUGGAGAGCCGGAUGGGCAUGUUCCACGGCACCACGGCGAGGGGGUGGAAGGGGAUGGACCCCUUCUACUUCUUCAUGAACCCCAGCCCGCUGUACACCGUCACGUUCCUGAGCAAGCUGCCGUCGGAGCUCACCUGCAGCAGCGGCGGCAGGCCCAGCCACGAGGUGGCCAACUACAUCCAGAGGCUCAUCGCUGCCACGCUCUCCUACCAGUGCACCAGCCUCACCAGGAAGGACAAGUACCGGGCCCUGGCCGGCAACGACGGCAUCGUGGACGUCAAGCCCAUGAACAAAGCACGCUAG